Molecule: ribosomal RNA, 395 nt
Filed under: uncultured bacterium
Lineage: Bacteria
Description: partial 16S ribosomal RNA
Rfam family: Bacterial small subunit ribosomal RNA
Source: RNAcentral
AUACGUAGGGUGCAAGCGUUAAUCGGAAUUACUGGGCGUAAAGCGUGCGCAGGCGGUUUUGUAAGACAGAGGUGAAAUACCCGGGCGCAACCUGGGAACUGCCUUUGGGGCUACAAGGCUAGAGUACGGCAGAAGGGGGUGGAAUUCCACGUUUAGCAGUGGAAUGCGUAGAUAUGCGGAGGAACACCGAUGGCGAAGGCAAUUCCAAAGGAAUGUACUGACGCGCAUGCAGGAAAGCGUGGGAAACAAACAGGAUUAGAUACCCUGGUAGUCCACGCAGUAAACGAUGUCCACUGGUGGUUGGCUCUUCAUUGACUCAGUAACGAAGCUAUCGCGUGAAGUUGACCGCCUGGGGAGUACGGCCUCAACGUUGAAACUCAAAUGAAUUGGCGGGG